CCUACGGGAGGCAGCAGUGGGGAAUUUUGGACAAUGGACGCAAGUCUGAUCCAGCCAUUCCGCGUGCAGGACGAAGGCCUUCGGGUUGUAAACUGCUUUUGUACGGAACGAAAAGGUCUCUAUUAAUACUAGGGGCUCAUGACGGUACCGUAAGAAUAAGCACCGGCUAACUACGUGCCAGCAGCCGCGGUAAUACGUAGGGUGCAAGCGUUAAUCGGAAUUACUGGGCGUAAAGCGUGCGCAGGCGGUUAUAUAAGACAGAUGUGAAAUCCCCGGGCUCAACCUGGGAACUGCAUUUGUGACUGUAUAGCUGGAGUGCGGCAGAGGGGGAUGGAAUUCCGCGUGUAGCAGUGAAAUGCGUAGAUAUGCGGAGGAACACCGAUGGCGAAGGCAACCCCCUGGGCCUGCACUGACGCUCAUGCACGAAGGCGUGGGGAGCAAACAGGAUUAGAUACCCUGGUAGUCCACGCCCUAAGCGAUGUCAACUGGUUGUUGGGUCUUCACUGACUCAGUAACGAAGCUAACGCGUGAAGUUGACCGCCUGGGGNGACGGCGCGAGUAGAACGACGAAGAAGUAGAGGCGNGAGACGNGCGACGGACGACACGAGGGAGGAGG
This 616-nucleotide ribosomal RNA is filed under the name uncultured bacterium. RNAcentral describes it as "bacterial SSU rRNA". The stretch from base 1 to 542 matches the Rfam family "Bacterial small subunit ribosomal RNA", at positions 338 to 873 of the family's 1533-position model. The record is from RNAcentral.